RNAcentral lists this long non-coding RNA (706 nucleotides) under Salmo salar (Atlantic salmon). Its description in RNAcentral is "lncRNA (ENSSSAG00000118973.1)". The record is from RNAcentral. Lineage: Eukaryota; Metazoa; Chordata; Actinopteri; Salmoniformes; Salmonidae.
CCGCCAUCGAUAAGAAACAAUACUGUGCAGCCGUAUUCAUUGGCCUGGCCAAGGCUUUCGACUCUGUCAAUCACCACAUCCUCAUCGGCAGACUCAAUAGUCUUGGUUUCUCAAAUGAUUGCCUCGCCUGGUUCACCAACUACUUCUCUGAUAGAGUUCAGUGUGUCAAAUCGGUGGGCCUGUUGUCCGGACCUCUGGCAAUCUCUAUGGGGGUGCCAAAGGGUUCAAUUCUUGGGCCGACUCUCUUCUCUGUAUACAUCAAUGAUGUCGCUCUUGCUGCUGCCCCAUAUACUACCCACCACUGCGACCUGUACGCUCUCGUUGGCUGGCCCUCGCUUCAUACUCGUCGCCAAACCCACUGGCUCCAGGUCAUCUACAAGACUCUGCUAGCUGUCAGGGCCAACCCUCCUACCACGACCAGCACUACAAGCCAGAUGGUCAGCCUGGAAUUCAGCUAUCAGCUUGAAUCCUUUGGAUGGGUCAUCGUUGGUCCCUGACGGCUUCCCUCAUGAGAAGAAAGGAGUAUGGUACCAUGAGGGUCAUCCACCUAAUGUCCAUGUCCUCACCAGCACCACAAGCCAUUCAGUCAGCCGGGAAUGCGCACACUGGCUUGAAGAUGAACAGGCACGGCUGACUUCAAUAAACUCGUUAAGGGUGUGGCUGGCUACUCAAUUAGGCGCCACACUUAUCAACUGCUGGUUUCCCC